GGAGAGAUGGCAGAGUGGUUGAUCGCGAUGGAUUGCUAAUCCGUUGUACUUAUUUUUAAGUACCGAGGGUUCAAAUCCCUCUCUCUCCU
RNAcentral lists this transfer RNA (89 nucleotides) under Pedobacter sp. RNAcentral's name for it is "tRNA-Ser". It matches the Rfam family "tRNA". From Rfam's summary of the family: Transfer RNA (tRNA) molecules are approximately 80 nucleotides in length. Their secondary structure includes four short double-helical elements and three loops (D, anti-codon, and T loops). Further hydrogen bonds mediate the characteristic L-shaped molecular structure. tRNAs have two regions of fundamental functional importance: the anti-codon, which is responsible for specific mRNA codon recognition, and the 3' end, to which the tRNAs corresponding amino acid is attached (by aminoacyl-tRNA synthetases). tRNAs cope with the degeneracy of the genetic code in two manners: having more than one tRNA (with a specific anti-codon) for a particular amino acid; and 'wobble' base-pairing, i.e. permitting non-standard base-pairing at the 3rd anti-codon position. The record is from RNAcentral. Lineage: Bacteria; Pseudomonadati; Bacteroidota; Sphingobacteriia; Sphingobacteriales; Sphingobacteriaceae.